GCGGAGGUUGCCGAGCCAGGUUAAAGGCGACAGACUCAAGAUCUGUUUCCGUUGGGAUGCGCCGGUUCGAAUCCGGCCCUCCGCA
Transfer RNA from Thermoplasmatales archaeon E-plasma, 85 nucleotides. It matches the Rfam family "tRNA". Rfam says of the family: Transfer RNA (tRNA) molecules are approximately 80 nucleotides in length. Lineage: Archaea; Methanobacteriati; Thermoplasmatota; Thermoplasmata; Thermoplasmatales. The record is from Rfam.